RNAcentral lists this ribosomal RNA (328 nucleotides) under uncultured eukaryote. Its description in RNAcentral is "partial 18S ribosomal RNA". It matches the Rfam family "Eukaryotic small subunit ribosomal RNA", at positions 1470 to 1796 of the family's 1831-position model. The record is from RNAcentral.
CCCUUAGACGUUCUGGGCCGCACGCGCGCUACACUGACCAGUGCAACAAGCAUCCGUCCUUGGCCGACAGGCCCGGGCAAUCUUUGAACGCUGGUCGUGAUGGGGAUAGAUUAUUGCAAUUAUUAAUCUUCAACGAGGAAUGCCUAGUAAGCGCAAGUCAUCAGCUUGCGUUGAUUACGUCCCUGCCCUUUGUACACACCGCCCGUCGCUCCUACCGAUUGAAUGGUCCGGUGAAGCGUUCGGACCGUGGCCUUUGGACGGUUCGCCGUCUGUUGGCUGCGGGAAGUUCGUUAAACCUUAUCAUUUAGAGGAAGGAGAANUCGUANCA